AUGGCGCGCGGCAAGGUCGCUAUGAGGCUCGUCGAGAACGCGGGGGAGCGCGCCAGGAAGCACGCCAAGAGGGUCCCGGGGCUCAAGAAGAAGGCGUCGGAGCUCGCCACGCUCUGCGGGGUCCCGGUCGGGCUCGUCUGCGCCGGCGCUCGCGCCGGGGCUCCGCCGCUCGUCUGGGAGUCGGAGGAGGGCGUGCUCGAGAGGUACCGCCGCGCCGUCCCGCCGGAGGCCCGCGCGGGGCACACGCACCGGGCCUACCUCGAGGCGGAGCUGGCCAAGCGGAGGGCCAAGCUCGCCAGGGCGCGCCACGGCUGCCCCGCCGCGCUCCCGGACUGGGACGAGGCGCUCAACGACAUGACGCUGGACGACGCGCGGGCGCUGCUCCAGGCCAUCGACGCGGCGCUGCUGGCCACGGGAGACAGGAUAGUGGCGCUGGGCUUGCCUGCCGACGGCGGCCACAGCGCGCUUGAUCAGCAGGUCACGCCGGACUCUUCGGACGACGCCGUCAUGCCGCAGCAGAUCGGGCACGGUGGCGGCGUGCCAUGGACCGGAGGCGACCCCGUGGACAUGGCCGACGCCGCCGGCUUCCAGCAGCUGCAGAUGUACAACUACUCGGGCGGCGGCGACGGGAUGCUCACGCUGGGCCCCGCCAAUGCUGGCUGCAACUACUCAGGCGGCGGCGACGGGAUGCUCGCACCAGGCUUCGCCAAUGCUGUCUGCAACUACUCGAGCGGCGGCGGCCAGAUGCUCGCGCCGGGCUUCGGCAACGCGGACUACAAGUGGCCUGAUCUUACCAUGUGGCAAACCAACGAGAUGUGCGACGCGGCCAUGCCACCUGGGUACUACCCUGGCAUCGCCGACGGCACUCUGGCGCCUCAGCACUACUCCGCCGAGGUCGCCACCGGCGGCGACUAUGUGUACACACUGCCAUCUGGGUACGGCUACCCCAUGGGCAUGGGCAUGGGCAUGGGCGUGGGCGACGACAACUUCACCAAUCUGGAGAGCAACUACACGGCGGCGCAUUGGCAGGCCGAGGCGUUCCAGGGCUCCGACGCCAGCGCCAGCACCAGCACCAGCACCGGCGAGCUGCUGUCAGCUGCAUCAUCGCCUCAUUAUCGCAACUAG
This 1125-nucleotide ribosomal RNA is filed under the name Triticum aestivum (bread wheat). Its description in RNAcentral is "partial small subunit ribosomal RNA". The record is from RNAcentral. Lineage: Eukaryota; Viridiplantae; Streptophyta; Magnoliopsida; Poales; Poaceae.